UUGAACGCUGGCGGCCUGCCUUACCCCUGCCCGUCGAACGGCAGCACGGGUGCUUGCACCUGGUGGCGAGUGGCGAACGGGUGAGUAAUACAUCGGAACAUGUCCUGUAGUGGGGGAUAGCCCGGCGAAAGCCGGAUUAAUACCGCAUACGAUCUACGGAUGAAAGCGGGGGACCUUCGGGCCUCGCGCUAUAGGGUUGGCCGAUGGCUGAUUAGCUAGUUGGUGGGGUAAAGGCCUACCAAGGCGACGAUCAGUAGCUGGUCUGAGAGGACGACCAGCCACACUGGGACUGAGACACGGCCCAGACUCCUACGGGAGGCAGCAGUGGGGAAUUUUGGGCAAUGGGCGAAAGCCUGAUCCAGCAAUGCCGCGUGUGUGAAGAAGGCCUUCGGGUUGUAAAGCACUUUUGUCCGGAAAGAAAUCCUUGGCCCUAAUACGGUCGGGGGAUGACGGUACCGGAAGAAUAAGCACCGGCUAACUACGUG
This 485-nucleotide ribosomal RNA is filed under the name uncultured bacterium. RNAcentral describes it as "partial 16S ribosomal RNA". It matches the Rfam family "Bacterial small subunit ribosomal RNA", at positions 30 to 507 of the family's 1533-position model. The record is from RNAcentral.